This 253-nucleotide ribosomal RNA is filed under the name uncultured bacterium. Its description in RNAcentral is "partial 16S ribosomal RNA". It matches the Rfam family "Bacterial small subunit ribosomal RNA", at positions 524 to 776 of the family's 1533-position model. The record is from RNAcentral.
UACGUAGGGGGCCAGCGUUGCUCGGAAUUACUGGGCGUAAAGGGUUCGUAGGCGGUGCGACAAGUUGGGAGUGAAAUCUCUGGGCUUAACCCAGAGGCUGCUUUCAAAACUGCCGUGCUCGAGUGCGAGAGAGGUCAGUGGAAUUGCAGGUGUAGCGGUGAAAUGCGUAGAUAUCCGCAGGAACAUCCGAGGCGAAAGCGGCUUGCUGGAUCAUUUCUGACGCUGAGGGACGAAAGCUAGGGGAGCAAACAGG